This 253-nucleotide ribosomal RNA is filed under the name uncultured bacterium. Its description in RNAcentral is "partial 16S ribosomal RNA". It matches the Rfam family "Bacterial small subunit ribosomal RNA", at positions 524 to 776 of the family's 1533-position model. The record is from RNAcentral.
UAGGAAGGGGGCUAGCGUUGUUCGGAAUUACUGGGCGUAAAGCGCACGUAGGCGGAUUCUUAAGUCAGGUGUGAAAUCCCGGGGCUCAACCUCGGAACUGCAUUUGAAACUGGGAAUCUAGAGACCAGGGGAGGUUAGCGGAAUACCGAGUGUAGAGGUGAAAUUCGUAGAUAUUCGGUGGAACACCAGUGGCGAAGGCGGCUAACUGGACUGGUACUGACGCUGAGGUGCGAACGUGUGGGGAGCAAACAGG